Molecule: long non-coding RNA, 881 nt
Filed under: Gallus gallus (chicken)
Lineage: Eukaryota; Metazoa; Chordata; Aves; Galliformes; Phasianidae
Source: RNAcentral
AACAGAUUUAACAAAACCUGUUAAAGUGACAGCGUGUGUUGUUAGAAAGGGGAAACUAGGGUUACACUACAUGUUGUACUGGAUUGUUCCACCAUUGCUCCGCAACUUUUACGGCAUAAAUUAAAAAAAAAAAAAAAGGAGGAAAAAAAAUAAAUACAUUGGCUCCUAUGAAGUCAGAAGUGGUUUGGGCUGCAUAGUGGAGGGGUGAGAGAUGGCGGCAAGGGGCAAAAUUUACACACUUUGAGACAAAAUGGGAAGCGCCUGCAAAGUAGGAGAGCAGAGGCCCGAGAGUUUAAGUGUCCUCAUUCAUAUCCUGGCUGUCUGUCCGAGCGAUUUUUCGUGGCGGCGCCGAGUUCUCACCUUCUAUUUCCACUUGCUCUUGAUCUCUCUUCUUUGCUGCAUUCUUUUUGUCCCACUGCUGGUGUAAAUAACGCAAAAGUAUAUUUGUCUUUUCUGUUACUAUAAUUUGUUCAGACGGGUAUUCUCUCGUGGGAAGAUAUACCGAUGGUCUUCUGUUUGAUGCUUUACAUACAGAGUCUGCGUGGAAUCUGCUGAAGUUGCUUUUGUUGUAGACUGGUAAUCCUUUCAAAAAAUCCGCCAUCUUCGCCGCCGCCAGCCGGGAGGAGCCGCCCCUCCCCCGCCGCACUGCCUCUGCCUGCCGUCGCUCGCCCGCCCCGCGCGCUCCUAUUGGUCCGCACAGCGCCACGCCCAGCGCCUAUUGGGCGUCGCGGCCGUCAGUCAGCGCGGCGCUGAGGAGUCUGGGAUCCGGUUGAAGCAGGAAAUGCCGCUCGGAAGGCGUAGGAGGAACCCGGAUGUGGCGCCGGCCGCGUGGCACGCUGGGAGCGGUAGUCCGUGCGGAGCUGCCGCACGUCGCGUUUCUC